RNAcentral lists this ribosomal RNA (305 nucleotides) under uncultured Flavobacteriaceae bacterium. RNAcentral's name for it is "bacterial SSU rRNA". It matches the Rfam family "Bacterial small subunit ribosomal RNA", at positions 1 to 314 of the family's 1533-position model. The record is from RNAcentral. Lineage: Bacteria; Pseudomonadati; Bacteroidota; Flavobacteriia; Flavobacteriales; Flavobacteriaceae.
UCGAGAGUUUGAUCCUGGCUCAGGAUGAACGCUAGCGGCAGGCCUAACACAUGCAAGUCGAGGGGUAGAGGAAGCUUGCUUCCUUGAGACCGGCGCACGGGUGCGUAACGCGUAUGCAAUCUACCUUAUACAGGGAACUAGCCCAGAGAAAUUUGGAUUAAUGCCCCAUAGUGUUAUUGAAUCGCAUGGUUUAAUACUAAAGUUCCAACGGUAUAAGAUGAGCAUGCGUCCCAUUAGUUAGUUGGUAAGGUAACGGCUUACCAAGCAAUGAUGGUAGGGUCCUGAGAGGGAGAUCCCCCGACACU